CGUAGGGUGCGAGCGUUAAUCGGAAUUACUGGGCGUAAAGCGUGCGCAGGCGGUUUUGUAAGACAGGCGUGAAAUCCCCGGGCUCAACCUGGGAACUGCGCUUGUGACUGCUAAGGCUAGAGUACGGCAGAGGGGGUGGAAUUCCACGUGUAGCAGUGAAAUGCGUAGAGAUGUGGAGGAACACCAAUGGCGAAGGCAGCCCCCUGGGUCGAUACUGACGCUCAUGCACGAAAGCGUGGGUAGCAAACAGGAUUAGAUACCCUGGUAGUCCACGCCCUAAACGAUGUCAACUAGGUGUUGGGAGGGUAAAACCUUUUAGUACCGGAGCUAACGCGUGAAGUUGACCGCCUGGGGAGUACGGCCGCAAGGUUA
This 372-nucleotide ribosomal RNA is filed under the name uncultured organism. Its description in RNAcentral is "bacterial SSU rRNA". It matches the Rfam family "Bacterial small subunit ribosomal RNA", at positions 526 to 896 of the family's 1533-position model. The record is from RNAcentral.